This is an RNA transcript of Vespula pensylvanica (western yellowjacket), 6960 nucleotides long. RefSeq lists it as uncharacterized. The record is from RefSeq and is a predicted model, not a curated record. The transcript is spliced from 5 exons. NCBI's taxonomy places the organism in Eukaryota, Metazoa, Arthropoda, Insecta, Hymenoptera, Vespidae.
UACGAAGAAAAUAAAAGCACGUAUUGUGUCGAUUAUAAUAUUAGCUAUAAAUCGCUACAAAUGAUUAAAUUGAAACAGCCAUGUACGCUGUGUUCAAGCGUAUGAUUAUAUCGAUUGACGGAUUGUAUCGAAACUAUGAAUAUCGUUUAAAUUUUCCUUUUCAUCGAAUACUUUUAAUUAUCUUAAUAUUUAAAAUUUCAAGAAAUUAAAGCAAUAUGAUGAUUUGUUUUUGGUAAUAUCAUUCAUUCAAGAGAAUUUAAUGUCUUUUGAAAUUUUAAGUGCAGAAUGCCAAGAUUCAUUGGACAUUACAUAGGAAUAUCCUUUCAGACUGAAUUAUUAGUAAUGACUCUAUUAGGUUUGGUAAGAUUUCCGAAAUAAUUAUUGGACAUAGUUUCUUUCUGUAUUUAAAAUAUUCCAAGUAUAACGAUAAAGUAUCGGUCAUGCAACGGAAAAAAAAAAAAUCAUAAAAUAAUAAUAUUUCUUAAAUCGUUAAAGUAAGUAACGAGAUGAUAAUAUUCCGAAGCUCAACAGCACGUUGGAAUGGCAUCCUUUCGACUGGUCUCAACAAAUUGAAAAGAUUUGGAAUCUGUCAUUGACUCAACAGUAUUUCUUUUUCUCUACAGAUUUUGAGUAUUGGAUAAAGACAAGUUAGUACCGAGAAAAAUAUGUUCUAUAUAUGUUGAAUGAUAUUUUACACAUUAUUAUUCCUCAUUACAAUUAGUCCUAACAUGGAUCGUUAUCACAAGGAAGAUAGCCGCUUAUGUUUACACAUUUUUAUACAUGAUCAAUUUCUAUCCAAUUUUAACAUGGAGUCGACCAAAUUUACUUCUGCCGUGGCUGAUCCUGAGUUUCUUUCAAAAUCUCAUACUAAAAUCGAUCGUUAUUACGAUAUUCAUAUGGUUAUGGGGUAGAGAAAGAUUUUCUUCAUUUCGAAUGAUCGAAUUUGUUCUCGUUGAACUUCUUUCAUUAACCAAUUCUGCAUACGUAUGGUAUGCAAUCGCAUGUUCUUAUAUAGAGUUGAAAAAAAUAGAAAGAAUUAGAAAGAUAAGAAAAGCUUUGCAAGCAAAAUAUUCCAUCGCAUAUAAUCUCUUCUCGGAUCGUAGUAGCAUGGAAUUAUCUAGCAAGGACUCAGCAUAUGGUUUGUACUCGGAAAGACGUUGUAUGAGUUUACCUAAUCUGAACGAUGCUUUUUAUCGUUCGAUUUUCAACGAUUUCAAUGAAAGUAGAACAUCUAGAUCGUUGACAACUUUAACGACUAUCAGCAGCUUCGAAUCCGAUGACACGGAAGAAGUCAUUUCUCAGAUAAUUCAUAAUAAUAAUUUGAUACCUGUUGAGAAAUGUAUGAAGCUUUUGGGCUUAACUGAUGUUGAUAUAAUCAAUGCACGUGCUAGAGUUCGCAAAAGGAUUUUAGAGAGUGCUAUAAUUAAUAAGAUUCAAGAAGAAUAUGCAAAAAAGAAGGAGAUAGGAAAAAACGAUGUGACAAAAGAUAACAGGAUGAGAGAUUCAUCUAUCAUUGAUUACUUGAUGGCAAAAACUGACAUGCCUAUAUUUCGUAAAAAUGAUAAUCGCGUUGAGAAGUUCAGAGAUAUGAAACGAAAAGGUGAUGCAAUUUUAAAACGAACUGAAGCUUCUAAAGACCAGAAGAUCAAUGAGAAGAUCGAAGAUGUUUCAGUUGAAGUAAAAAAUGAAUUGAUCGAUGAAGAAGUAGAAUUGACACAAACUAAGGAAUCCAUAACAGCUUUUGUGCUAGAUCGUAUCGAUGAAAAUGAAGAAACAAAGUUAGAAUUUAUUAAGAAGAAAAAAAAGAAAAAAGCAUGUCCAUUAACGAGAGAGAAAGUAGAGUGUAGACCAUGCUUUCCUCUCGUAGGGGACAGACAAUUGAUGGAAUGUCCUUUCAAGGAGCAAAUUAUCCUUUCUAAUUCUAAUUAUCCUUGCCUUUUAAAUAAAAGAAAUAAACGUUUAAAUGAAGUUUAUUGUACAUCUAAUCGCGAAAUUGAUGUUUUAAUAAAUGAUAAUAAAAUUCCAGAGGAGAGUAUUAUUUCCUUGGAUGACAUAGACAUCAGAAAAUUACCCGAAAACGAUGCAACGAUUACGAAUAUUGAUCAAGAAGAAGAUACAAAGAUUAAUUUUUCACGAAGCCAAAUGACUAAUGCAAAAGAUUUCACUAAUAGAGAAUUGGAAAAUAAUUCUAUCUUAAGUUGUCCAACGUUCUAUCAAAAAUAUAAUAUAACUAAUUUCUAUGGCAAUGAAUUGCUAUUCGAUGAAUUUUUUGAUCCUCAAUUACGAUUUAACGAAAAAUUUGUUGAAAACACGAAUGAUAUAUACAAAGAUAUGUUGUUUAAACCUUCGGAUUCGAAGAAUUUAUUUGAUCGAGGAAAAAUGAUGAUAUGGAAUAAUAAAAACGCAGAAUUAUUAUUUAAAAUACCAAAACAAAUUGCGUGUUACACUGGUGUGGAAUACAAAUCUGUAAAUAAUCCUAAGAUUUCUAACAAGACAGAAUUUAUCGAAGGCAAAUUGCAGAAUUUCGAUCGAGAGUUAAUUACAAAACAUAGAUACACGAGUGUCGAACCAAAAGGAGAAUACAAAAGUAAUGAUCCAUUUAACAUUUAUGAAAGUAUCUGGAGUAAUUUAAAUGUAAAUAGUAAUACUAAUAGCCGCAAUAGAAUUAGUACUCAAACUACAGAAAGUUUGGACGAUUAUAUAUACCAUAAUAAAAGGAGUAAUAAAAAUAAUGAUCACAAUGUAGAUGCCAAUUAUAUGGACAAUGAAUCUUCAAAGUUUGCGACAAACAUUAAUUUAAAUCAAUUAUUAGAUACUAAGAAUUUAAUUAAAAACGACGAAAGCUACGAAGAUAAUUUAGAAAUUGGACCAUGUUAUUGUAAAAAUUGGAGUAUCUUUGCCAUGUCACAGGUAGCAGAUUCUUCAGAAUGCGAAAAUUCGAGUUUUUUAGAAAAACCAUCUGCAUAUCUUAAAGAAAUUCAAAAUGAAUCACUUCAUAGAUUAACGAAUAUUAAAAAUAAGAUCGUCAAGAAUUCGUUCGAUAGUUGUAAACAUCCCGAAUACUUUGAUCAAUCGAGACGUAACAUAUCAUUGAAGAAGAAAAGAAAACGUAUGACAUCUUCUAAAGAAAGAGAACUUUUAGAAAUGAAAGCUUUGAGAGCUUACAACGAGAUCACUUUGAUGGAAGACAAACGAGAGAUGGAAAAAAAGAAACAACAAAAAACUAAUAUGCUAUAUUCCUUCAUAGAUAAUACCAGAUCUUGGUCGACGCAAGUAAUGUCUUGUUCUAAAGUGAAAAACAAUUACAGACAAAUACAAAGAAGACACGAGAUUGAUUCAUAUGAAUUUAAUAAACAUCAAAAUCACUUUGAUUCAUACAACGAAAUUGAAAUACACAAUACAACUGAUUCUUUCUUCGAAUAUUCUAGUAAAAUUAAUAACGAAGAAUUAAUAAAGGAGAAGGAAAAUUUUUAUUUUCUUGAAAACGAAUCGUCGUCUUCUCAAUUACCCGAUAUACGAAAUAAAGAUGCUGCAAUCAUGUUGAAUCUUUUGAAUCGUCAUGGUAGUGAUUGGUUCAAGCAAGAGUUGAGAAGAAUUCUGGCAAUAAGGGAUAGUCAGGUGUAUAUGAAACAUAGCAAAUCUAAUCAAGAUACUAUGAAACUGAAUCUUUCUUUAAGAAACAAUCAAAAGAUAAUUGAUAGCCUUGAACUUGAUAGAAAUAUUGGGAAAGAAGACAUAAGUAUUCCCUUUGGAUUACCUUCGUCUUAUCAAUAUUUAUCAACCACUUCGGAUUUCGGUUCAAAUCAAAAUUUUAAGACUUCUAAUUUGAGGGAAUCUAUUAUUUCUGAAAAAGAUAUGCCUCCUAUUUCGUCCGAUUUAAAAGAUUUCAUUGAAUCUACAGAAAAUAAAAAAGUAAUUGAAGAAGAAGGAAAAGAAGAAAGAAAAAUGAUAGAUACACCAAAAGAAUCUGAAAUUGAAGAGAUCGAGAAAUUUAAGAUCGACAUGUUAAAUGUUGAAAAAGAUAAUUCAUCUUUUUCCUUGACAAAUUCCAUCUCAUUUUCAUCUCUUACAAAAAGUGAAAAUGUAGUCGAACCGAUCGAUGAUCGAAAUCAUCCUCCAGUUAGACGUAGAAAUAUGUCUCUACACAUGAUGGACAUCGCAAGAAACAUUCAUUGGAGUUUACGUCCUCGUGGUAUUCUAUUAACUAAUAAAAAUUUACAAGGAAUGAAUUUCGAAUCGUCCGAUCUUUGUGGUAACCAGCAGAGAGAUAUCGUCGAUGACGUCACAGCCAGUCUGGUCCAUGCUGCUUUCUCUCAUAAACCUGAGAUUAUCAUUCGAACAUUUCCACGUGAUUCUCGAUCUAUCAAUGACGAACAAUCCACGUCCUUCUUCGAAAAUUUUUCUAAUAUUUAUCGUUUGCCAUCGACCGUCGACGAAUUUGUUCUUCGUUCUAAUAAUGAAAUGGAUAUUUUUCUUGGAGACGCAUUGACGCUUCCAAACGUUCAAGAAGUCGAAGACGAAGUUAAUAAUCUCGAAGAUAUUCUACAAAGUUCAUGUGAUUCUAUGGAAAUUGAUAGGAACUUUGAUCUUUGUAUUUUGGUGAUGGAAGACGAGGACUUGUCUUUAGAUUCAAGAUCGACUUCAACCGAUAGUCUACCUAUAAACGAAGUUGUUCAAUAUGACAGUGAAAUUACUAUUGCAUUGAGUGAAACAAAGACAAUGGAUAACGUUGAUCCAGAAAUAAAUUCCCUUGGCUGUGAGACGUUCAAAGAUUCCGAUCAACUUUCCUUGGAAAUGAUAAUAGCUUUCUUCAGUUUUCUCUUAGCUUUUUACAUAGAAAUUCUGGGAUCAUACUUCUUUAUGUCGGAUUUACAUAAUUCUAUAUAUGCUUACAGACCGUACGAACUGCAUUCGGACAUGCUUAAGAACGAUUUUUCUGACGAAUUUUUAUCUGAAAAAUCUGACAUGGUUGCUUCUUCAAAUUCGGUAAAUAUAACAGAGUUUGUCGUUGAACCUAAAAACCAAGAAAGAACCGAUGUGAUCAUCGAUGAAGUUGAAGAGGAUGAUCAAGCUUCGAUAAAAAGUACAAAUUUGCAAGUUUCAAGUAUAAGAGAUAGUUUUGAUACGAUGUAUACUAAAACUACUGUUGAAUCUGAAAACGCAAUAUCUUUUGAAGAAAACAGCUCGAUGGAAGAUUUUUCUUGAUAAUUUGUCAAAGGAUACAAAUUUGAGGAUCUUCAUUGCUUUAAUAAAAAAUGUACGUUUUUAUAUAUUCACAAAAAAAUAAUGAUUGAUUGAAUCGCUUUUAUAAAUAAUUAUUACAGCUUUCGUUCUUUUAUUAUCUCGUAAUUGAUAUUACUUAUCGAUCUAUGGACAUUGAAUACUUUCUUUUACCAUCCUUUUGUUAAUAAAAUAUUUUCAUCAUCUUAAUAAUUAUUCUACAUAAGCUAAAUUCGUUCGAUCGUUUUACUUUAACUACUCAAAACUUCAAGUUAAUUUCUUACGACAUUCAACAAGUUUCAUCAUAACCCUGACCAUAAUCAGGCACCACGUGAUCAGGAUCACAAAUAGUGUCUUUAACAGCAUCCUUAACGUGUGCCUUGAAGAUUCUAAAAUUGAUCUUGCUGCUAUCUAAAUUUUCAUAAAGAUACAUCGGUAACCUAUUGGAGAUCAUCCAAACGCUUUGCUCUUCUUCAUGAUCGACUUUAAUGUCGUUAGGAAAGACCAACGAGAUGUUACUGGUACCUAUUACACCUAAAUUCUCGGGUAUAUAUUCCUUUCUCGUAUCCCAACACCAUACAGAGUCCCGAGUGACCAUGUUGAAGAACAUUACACCGUUUCUGUCGACAACGGAACCAGACGAAUGACCAUAAUCCUUGGCUCUUGGUCUUCCAAUCGGUAUAAAUUUAUCGGUAUUAUGAUCGACCAUUCUCUUGUCUCGAAGGACAGACGUGGAGACUGCAAACUCUCUGAAACUCGACAUGGGAUGAAAAAACAGGGUCCUAUCGUCGUGAAUAUCGAUAGGACUUAAUGCAAUGCCAAAGAUUCCGUCAGUCCAUUGGAAUUUUAUACCAUGGAGUUCGUACUUCGCAGCCAAAGGAUCAGGAAAGAAUAAAUGAUGUUCGAAUCUGAAGGAUGAAUCCUUGUAAAAGUCAUAAACGAUUAAACCGAAUCUCCAGACGUCUGAAAGAUAUGCUAUUGCGCCACCGCAAUCUCCAUCUCUUAUAUCAACUACUAUAUUCGUAAACAAAGAAUCUUGUUUCACUUGCUCCUGCGGUAAAGUAUAUUUCUUAAUCAAUUUAUCAGUUCGAAGAUCGAAUAUGUAGAGUGCUGGUGGACAACUUUGCGUCGGUUUUCUCGCGAUAUUUGUCACUCCAGAAUCCAAAACCCAAAGACGAUCACAUUCGUCUACUUGUAUUCUAAACACUGAUGUAAGAUCAUCGCAUUUACCUGAAAGUAUAAAAAAGUAUUAGAAAAUUAUUUCGAUAAAUACGAUUUGUCCAGGUUCCAACUAACCAGACAUAUUCCAAUCCCAAUCAGGAUAUGGCUUCAAUUUUGGACUCUUUGUUUUGGAAUAUCUUGGAACAGUUGCCAGCGUCACUGCUAUGUAAUCACCAUCGAAUAUAGCUUGAUCUCGUUCUUCGAUAUUAUUAAACUCAAAGUCUACGGUCGACCAAGCGUAAACCUGAAUUAAAAUUAGCAAGAUCGAUAAGGAAGAUCGGAAAUUGUUUACGAAGAGAUAAUCGAAUAUUUACCAAACUCAUCGCUGGUCCAACAUACUCGUCUUCAACUGGCUCGUGAUUGAGAUCAUAAUUAAAUCCAUGAAACUCAAGUUGAUUUAUCGAAUGGGCAUUGUUCUUAAAGACAUCGCCUAUGUUUCUCGCGUAAUCGCGAUUAUUUGACUGGAAAAAUCGACCUGCUGUAAUCGGGGUCGAGCCAUAAAGAAUAUUAUUUCUUUCA